UACGUAGGAUGCUAGCGUUGUCCGGAUUUACUGGGCGUAAAGCGCGCGCAGGCGGCACUGUAAGUAAGGUGUGAAAUAUCCCUGCUCAACGGGGAGGGUGCACUUUAGACUGCAGAGCUAGAGGACGGUAGAGGGGGGUGGAAUUGCUGGUGUAGCGGUGAAAUGCGUAGAGAUCAGCAGGAACACCCGCGGCGAAGGCGGCCCCCUGGGCCGAACCUGACGCUGAGGCGCGAAGGCUAGGGGAGCGAACGGG
This 253-nucleotide ribosomal RNA is filed under the name uncultured bacterium. RNAcentral's name for it is "partial 16S ribosomal RNA". It matches the Rfam family "Bacterial small subunit ribosomal RNA", at positions 524 to 776 of the family's 1533-position model. The record is from RNAcentral.